UGGGGAAUAUUGCACAAUGGCGAAGCCUGAUGCAGCGACGCCGCGUGAGGGAUGACGGCCUUCGGGUUGUAAACCUCUUUUCAGCAGGGAAGAAGCGAAAGUGACGGUACCUGCAGAAGAAGCGCCGGCUAACUACGUGCCAGCAGCCGCGGUAAUACGUAGGGCGCAAGCGUUGUCCGGAAUUAUUGGGCGUAAAGAGCUCGUAGGCGGUUAGUCGCGUCUGCUGUGAAAACUCGAGGCUCAACCUCGGGCUUGCAGUGGGUACGGGCUGACUAGAGUGCGGUAGGGGUGACUGAAUUCCUGGUGUAGCGGUGGAAUGCGCAGAUAUCAGGAGGAACACCGAUGGCGAAGGCAGGUCACUGGGCCGCAACUGACGCUGAGGAGCGAAAAGCAUGGGGAGCGAACAGGAUUAGAUACCCUGGUAGUCCAUGCCGUAAAACGUUGGGCACUAGGUGUGGGGUCCAUUCCACGGAUUCCGUGCCGCAGCAAACGCAUUAAAGUGCCCCGCCUGGGGAGUGACGGCCGCAAAGGCUAAAACUCAAAAUGAAUUGACGGGGUCAUAGCUGUUUCCU
Molecule: ribosomal RNA, 572 nt
Filed under: uncultured bacterium
Lineage: Bacteria
Description: partial 16S ribosomal RNA
Rfam family: Bacterial small subunit ribosomal RNA
Source: RNAcentral